RNAcentral lists this long non-coding RNA (559 nucleotides) under Gallus gallus (chicken). Lineage: Eukaryota; Metazoa; Chordata; Aves; Galliformes; Phasianidae. The record is from RNAcentral.
GAGGUUUGCGCUACAAACAGGCAUGUAGGUGAACGAUGACUCUCACCUGCACAUUUACUUGGUUCUCUUGCAAGCUGCUUCUUUACAGAGCAGCACUUUCAUACUUGGAGUUGGUCAAAGACUAUACCAGAAGUUCUGUUCUUCCAAAACCUUGCGUGGUACCGCACCCAGUUCUGCUGCAACAACUCAACUCCCAAGACAAAUGCCAGCUCUAUCUCAGUGGAUGAUAUUCUCCCUUGCUACUUGCAGCAUGUUCCCAGAAACAGAAGUGCAUCUCAGCUUUGAUAUUUUAUCAGACAGUGAACAGUGUUCUCAGUCUAAAAAGUACUUAUAAAACUAUGUAUAUCAGGACCAUCUGGAGCCCCCCACCAUAACAGUGCAAUAAAAUAUAUUUCCAAUUUAUAUUGUGGCAUUGUGCUUAUUAUAAGUUUAGUUCUUUCAGCAGAUGUAUAAACCAAUAACUUUCUUUGUGUUAAAUAUUCCCCAAAGAAAAGUAAAUUGACCUCUUCAGGGAUUUUCUGAGGAUCAGGAAAAUGUCCUUUCAGUAUCUGUUUUCCAU